RNAcentral lists this transfer RNA (77 nucleotides) under Candidatus Buchananbacteria bacterium. RNAcentral's name for it is "tRNA-His". It matches the Rfam family "tRNA". From Rfam's summary of the family: Transfer RNA (tRNA) molecules are approximately 80 nucleotides in length. Their secondary structure includes four short double-helical elements and three loops (D, anti-codon, and T loops). Further hydrogen bonds mediate the characteristic L-shaped molecular structure. tRNAs have two regions of fundamental functional importance: the anti-codon, which is responsible for specific mRNA codon recognition, and the 3' end, to which the tRNAs corresponding amino acid is attached (by aminoacyl-tRNA synthetases). tRNAs cope with the degeneracy of the genetic code in two manners: having more than one tRNA (with a specific anti-codon) for a particular amino acid; and 'wobble' base-pairing, i.e. permitting non-standard base-pairing at the 3rd anti-codon position. The record is from RNAcentral. Lineage: Bacteria; Candidatus Buchananiibacteriota.
GUGGCCAUAGCUUAGCGGUCUAAAGCACUGCUCUGUGGCAGCAGGGAUCGAGGGUUCAAAUCCCUCUGGCCACCCCA